RNAcentral lists this ribosomal RNA (253 nucleotides) under uncultured bacterium. RNAcentral describes it as "partial 16S ribosomal RNA". It matches the Rfam family "Bacterial small subunit ribosomal RNA", at positions 524 to 775 of the family's 1533-position model. The record is from RNAcentral.
CACGUAGGGUGCGAGCGUUGUCCGGAAUUAUUGGGCGUAAAGAGCUCGUAGGCGGUGUGUCGCGUCGGCCGUGAAAACCUGCAGCUUAACUGUGGGCUUGCGGUCGAUACGGGCAUCACUGGAGUUCGGCAGGGGAGACUGGAAUUCCUGGUGUAGCGGUGAAAUGCGCAGAUAUCAGGAGGAACACCGGUGGCGAAGGCGGGUCUCUGGGCCGAUACUGACGCUGAGGAGCGAAAGCGUGGGGAGCGAACGG